UUUUCACCUGCAUCUGCCCUUGAAUUCCCCCUUCCCAAUUCUCUCUCAAGCUCCUCUCAAACCCUAGCCGCCUCCCUCCGCUUCCACCCUAAAGUCGCCUGUAUCCAUGGCUUCCAAAGCCAUUAAAGGCUUGUACCUGCCUCCUACGACUCCUACAUGCUUGAUUAUUAUGGUUUGAAAACCAGACCUUGAAGAAGUUUGGUCUAGACCUUGGUUUAUUUUAUUGUUAUGCUGUCUCCGGUCAUCUUUGACCUUGCUCUAGCCAACCAUGGCUAUUGAAGCCUGAUCCUGACUCCUCAUGUCUAGAUCAAUAACAUUCCAAAACUUUCUCGCCAUCUGGUUUCUUUUGAAAUCCUAACCUUUGAGGUUCUUCUGAUUCUUUUAGAUCCAUUGUAGAUCUGUGUUUUGCUUGAGCUUUUAAACGUUUUCUCAAAGUUUCUUUCAAAAUUUAACCUUCGGAACCUUUAUGUUUUCCGAUCUAGGGUUUUGUUAAGUUAUUUAGAAGUUUUCUCUGAUCUUUAGCAUGUUCUACUAUGUUUCUUUAUGUUCUUCUUCUACUGGAGUGUGCAUGUUAAAAGUCUUAGUUCCUUCUUGAGGUUUCUGAUUUUAUUUUGUUGAUAUUUUCUGCCUGAUUCCCCUAUCUUUUAUCUUUAUACUCGAUUGAUGGUGAAAAUCCUAAAAUUUUGGGUUCAUUCGAUUCUAAAAACUAUUUGCUGUGUGAUCUAUUUGUUCCUCAUCUCUGAGCUUGUUUGGUUUCAAAACCCUAUUUUCUUUAGACCUACUCGAGUUUCUAAAGUUGUUUCAUCUAUUGCUCGACUGAGUUUCGAAAUCUUUGUUUCAACUUCUGUUUCUUUAUGUGAUUUUGAUUUCUUGCUAUUAUUGGAACUCGACUAUAUUUUCAAAAAUGGUUUUUCUUCGAGACCCUUUUGCAUGCUUCUGAUACCCUCUUCUCCCUAUUACUAAGUUGACCUAUGUGACUAUCAUGUUUCACUAUCUCUUUGCCUUAGUUUAGCCUUACAUGCCUAAUACCUAUGUACUCUUUUAUAUGCUGAAUUUCCUUUUGAAGAGACCUUCAAUUUUGGGACUAAUUUCAAAACCCCCAUGUGUAAGUUUGAUUGCAUUCAUGUGUUAAGUGAUUGACUCUUUCCUUGUUUCGCCUUACUGAUUUCCAUGUUUCUUGGUUGAUUUAGAAACAUCCCUCAGACUUUUGAUUAUCCUAUUUCUGAAUUGGUUUAUUUGUUUUUUCAUGAAUUAGUAAUUUCGAAUCCCAGAAUCCUUGAUUUACUAUGUACUGAUUACCGCUAUAUUCUGCAACUGGACUUUGUUUUCUUAACUUAUUUGGUUAACCUAGUAUUUCAAAGAUUCUUCCGUUAAUUAAACCCUUAUGUAUUUACCCUAAUUGUCUACUCUGCGCAAUGUGCUUACUUGAUUUCUUUCCUUAAAAGUUUUCUGUUUACUGCCGUUUGGUUUUAACUUCUUAAUUAAAAUAAGUCUUGAUAGUGAUUGAUUUUAAUUGAUACAUAGUUCCAUAAUCAUUUCCUUGCCUUAUUUUCUGUCUGUUUUCAACUAUAAAUAUCCCGGCCCUGUCAUCACCACAAUACAAAAACAUUCUAAGUUCUUCUGAACUCACACUCAAAAGCAUUCUCUCUUGCUACUUGUACGGUUGCAUGUUUCCAAAUUCUGCUACCUACUUUUACUGUAUUUUGCUUCUUUAAACUGGUAUGUUCUGAUUAAGUUUUCAGCCUCACCACAAUGUGUUUACUUAAUACUUUUACCCUCUUGUCUAUUGUUGGUGUUCAAUUCAGUACUUAUUUUAGCUUGCUAUAAUUUCCUUUCUGCAUGUUCUGAAUUUACUAUGAAUCCUAAACCCCUAGCCCAAUGUGUUUGAUGUUGUGGUUUGCUUGAGGCAUGAUAGUACUGAAUAUUACAGUCCAUGACUCAAGCUUGAUUCUUGGGAUCCUAACCUCUAUGAUUCUUUGUUGUUGCAUGUUCUGGUAGUCUCAUAGGCAUGCCAACAUCUCCAUUGUUAUGCAUACCCAAAGAUUACCCUUUGCUUAAGGAUAGACUCUUUGCAAUCCCCAAUCCCUAAACCCCUUUUGUAUGAAAAUAUCAUGUUGUUUUUGGAUUUUUCCCCUUUCCUUUAUCCCCUCAAAACUCUGUUUCUUCACUUGCACUCUCUCUUAGAAUUAAGUUCUGCCCCCUUCUUGUGAGCCUUGCCCUGGGAUCCAUUGAGCUCCCUCUGAACUUGGGACGUUUGAGGGCUGGCCCUUCCAUACUGCACUUGUCCCUAUUAUGAUGAUAAAUUUGGGUGUGAGCACUGUCCGAAGUCCUAUUGAGGCUCUUAGGGAACUCUGACACACUCAAAUUGAGAAAGGCUUUGGAUCAAUGGUCUUUGGAUUGGUUUAUCUCAUAACUUAGUGAGGAAGUCAGAAUCAGGCCUCCUCUAGUUGUACUUUAUUUGUAUGUUUUCAAUGUAAUUUACUAUUCUGGUUUGUAAAUAUGUUGUAAUAAAAUUC
Molecule: long non-coding RNA, 2516 nt
Filed under: Nicotiana benthamiana
Lineage: Eukaryota; Viridiplantae; Streptophyta; Magnoliopsida; Solanales; Solanaceae
Description: long non-coding RNA (NBEN_LNC003623)
Source: RNAcentral